AAUUAUGUCUGCAUGGUAAAUCACUAAAUCAACAACAUAUGCUGAAUUCUGUUCUUGUUGACCAUAAGUUCUGAUAGUGAUCUUAAAUAGAAGUUUUCUCCCAAUCAAAUCAGUUAGAGAUUGAGGUAGAAAAUGUGGAUUUUCCUGUAAAACAAAUAUACAUCUUUCAAAGAAUAUAUAGAAAUGAAUUUUUCUUAAUUCCCCCUAAAUUAAAAAAUGAAGGAAAUACCUGAGCAGCCUCUUGGACUAACUCAAAC
RNAcentral lists this long non-coding RNA (257 nucleotides) under Brassica napus (rape). Its description in RNAcentral is "long non-coding RNA (BNAP_LNC019958)". Lineage: Eukaryota; Viridiplantae; Streptophyta; Magnoliopsida; Brassicales; Brassicaceae. The record is from RNAcentral.